GAUGAACGCUGGCGGCGUGCCUAAUACAUGCAAGUCGAGCGAACAGACGAGGAGCUUGCUCCUCUGACGUUAGCGGCGGACGGGUGAGUAACACGUGGAUAACCUACCUAUAAGACUGGGAUAACUUCGGGAAACCGGAGCUAAUACCGGAUAAUAUAUUGAACCGCAUGGUUCAAUAGUGAAAGACGGUUUUGCUGUCACUUAUAGAUGGAUCCGCGCCGCAUUAGCUAGUUGGUAAGGUAACGGCUUACCAAGGCAACGAUGCGUAGCCGACCUGAGAGGGGGGUCGCCACACCGGGAAGUGGACCCCGCUCCGAACCCCAAGGGGGGGAAGAGUGGGGAAAUUUUCCCCAAGGGGCGAAAGCCUAACGGAGCAACGCCGGUGGAGGAAGAAGGUUUUGCGGAUCGAAAACCUUUUUAUUUGGGAAAAAAAAAAUGUGAAAGAAACAUUGCACGUCUGAGCGGAACCAAACAAAAAAGCCCCGGUAAACCACUG
RNAcentral lists this ribosomal RNA (496 nucleotides) under uncultured bacterium. Its description in RNAcentral is "partial 16S ribosomal RNA". It matches the Rfam family "Bacterial small subunit ribosomal RNA", at positions 28 to 506 of the family's 1533-position model. The record is from RNAcentral.